This 330-nucleotide ribosomal RNA is filed under the name uncultured eukaryote. RNAcentral describes it as "partial 18S ribosomal RNA". It matches the Rfam family "Eukaryotic small subunit ribosomal RNA", at positions 1470 to 1796 of the family's 1831-position model. The record is from RNAcentral.
CCCUUAGAUGUUCUGGGCCGCACGCGCGCUACACUGAUGCAUUCAACGAGUCUAAAACCUGGUCUGAUAGGGCUGGGUAAUCUUUUGAAUGUGCAUCGUGAUUGGGAUAGAUGAUUGCAAUUCUUCAUCUUCAACGAGGAAUGCCUAGUAAACGCAAGUCAUCAGCUUGCAUUGAUUACGUCCUUGCCCUUUGUACACACCGCCCGUCGCUCCUACCGAUUGAAUGUUCCGAUGAAUACCAUGGACUGAGAGUAUGAAUGGGUUCGCCUAUUUCUGCUUCUCGGGAAGUGGAGUAAAUCUUAACAUUUAGAGGAAGGAGAAGUCGUAACA